AGGGAAUCUUCGGCAAUGGGGGCAACCCUGACCGAGCAACGCCGCGUGAGUGAAGAAGGUUUUCGGAUCGUAAAGCUCUGUUGUAAGUCAAGAACGGGUGUGAGAGUGGAAAGUUCACACUGUGACGGUAGCUUACCAGAAAGGGACGGCUAACUACGUGCCAGCAGCCGCGGUAAUACGUAGGUCCCGAGCGUUGUCCGGAUUUAUUGGGCGUAAAGCGAGCGCAGGCGGUUUGAUAAGUCUGAAGUUAAAGGCUGUGGCUCAACCAUAGUUCGCUUUGGAAACUGUCAAACUUGAGUGCAGAAGGGGAGAGUGGAAUUCCAUGUGUAGCGGUGAAAUGCGUAGAUAUAUGGAGGAACACCGGUGGCGAAAGCGGCUCUCUGGUCUGUAACUGACGCUGAGGCUCGAAAGCGUGGGGAGCGAACAGGAUUAGAUACCCUGGUAGUCCACGCCGUAAACGAUGAGUGCUAGGUGUUGGAUCCUUUCCGGGAUUCAGUGCCGCAGCUAACGCAUUAAGCACUCCGCCUGGGGAGUACGACCGCAAGGUUGAAAC
This 553-nucleotide ribosomal RNA is filed under the name uncultured bacterium. RNAcentral describes it as "partial 16S ribosomal RNA". It matches the Rfam family "Bacterial small subunit ribosomal RNA", at positions 356 to 900 of the family's 1533-position model. The record is from RNAcentral.